This 22-nucleotide microRNA is filed under the name Petromyzon marinus (sea lamprey). RNAcentral describes it as "pma-miR-4575". The record is from miRBase by way of RNAcentral. Lineage: Eukaryota; Metazoa; Chordata; Hyperoartia; Petromyzontiformes; Petromyzontidae.
UGCAACCCCAAACAUUUUGGUU